Molecule: non-coding RNA, 4814 nt
Organism: Sus scrofa (pig)
Lineage: Eukaryota; Metazoa; Chordata; Mammalia; Artiodactyla; Suidae
Source: RefSeq, a predicted model, not a curated record
GGAAGCCAGGAGUGCGGGGUGAAGGUCAUAGGGCACAGCCAAAGUUUCUCCUUUCCGGUAUAAAGCGGUGUGCCGGGGUCCCGUUUACUUCUUCCUCAGGCUGUGGGGGUUCCUACGACCCUAAAGUGCCAGCAGCCAGCCCUCCGCCCCCAGUGAAUCCAGACGUCCAUUCCGAGUCGGGCUCACCUCUAAAGACUCAUGCUGCCUGAGGAAGAAGCCUGGAAGAGGGAGGAAGAAGAAAAAAAAAAAGAAGUCAGGAAUGGCUCUCUCUCAGAUAUCUCUCAUGUACAUGUGAUCAAAAAAUUACAACUAGAAGCAAACACUGGUAGAGGAGAAGUAUUCCACACAUUGAUGUUGGGAAGAUAUGAAAGGAAUGAAAUGAAACAUUUUUAUCUCAGGUUAAUCCAGGAAAAUAUAUAUGAAUUUGAUCCUCAGCAGAGAGAUGCAGUAAGAAAUUACAAAGGAAUGCCCAUAACCCAUAACAAAUAUUUCACUCAUAUGAGAGAUCAACAUGGUAGAAGUGUUACAGGAAUCCAGUCUGCUGAAAAUAGGUGUGCCUUAAGCUUACAGGACAACCCGCAUAUUUCUAAAAGUGAAGAGAAAAUUGAGGAAAUUCAUCAAGCCGAGAAGAGUAUCAGCAGUAGUGGCUCAUUUCUACAACUUCAAGAAAUUUCUUCUAGUGUCCAAACCAACGUUUUGAAUCUAUAUGGGGAUGAUUUUAUGCAUCAUUCAGUACUGACACAAGACCAGAGGGCAUCCAGGGAAAGACCUUACCAAUGUAAUGAGGGUGACAAAACCUUUCUUCAGGGAACAUACUCGAAAAGACAUCAGAGCAACAGUACAGGAGAGAAAUUGCAUAAAUGUGAUAUAUGUGAAAGAGUCUUUUCUCGGAAUUCAUACCUUGCAGUUCAUCAGAGUAUUCAUAAUGGAAAGAAACCUUACCAAUGUAAUGAAUGUGGCAGGGUCUUUAGUCAAAGAACAAAACUUGCAAGGCAUCAGAGAAUUCACAUUGGAGAAGAACCUUACAAAUGUAAAGAGUGUGGGAAAUCCUUUCAUUCUGGCUCCCACCUUGCAGAACAUUAGAGAACCCAUACAGGAGCAAAACCACAUCCAUGUCAUGUCUGUGGGAAAUUCUUUUGUCGUCGUUACCACCUUUCUGUUCAUCAGAGAAUUCAUGCCAGAGAGAAACCUUACAAAUGUUCUGCGUGUGGCAAAACCUUUGGUCAUGGCUCACUUCUCAGGCGGCAUCAGAUAAGCUCUACAGGAAAGAUACAUGAGUGUGACGUAUGUGGCAAGGUCUCUAGUCAAAAGACAACCCUUGAAAACAGAGAAUUCACACUGGAGAGACUCCUUAUAAAUGUCAUGUGUGCGGCAAGGUCUUUGGUUAUAAUUCAAAGCUUGAGCGACAUCAGAGAAUUCCCACUGGAGGGAAACCUUACCCAUGCAGUGAGUGUGGCAAGCGCUUUAAUCAGGAAACAACUCUUUUAACUCAUCAGAGAAGUCAUACUAGAGAGAAGCCUUACACAUGUCCUGACUGUGGCAAGGACUUUAGUCAUAAGACAACCCUCUUAACUUGUCAGAGAAUUCAUACUGGAGAGAAGCCUUACAAACGUAAUGAGGGUCACAAGGUCUUCAGUCGUGGUUCAAGCCUUUCAAGACAUCAUAGAAUUCAUGCUGGAGGGAAACCUUACGAAUGUCGUGAGUGUGACAAGGUCUUUAGUCGAAAGGCAACUCUUGCAAGUCACCAGAAAACUCACCAUGGAGAGAAACCUUUCAAAAAGGAUGCGUGUUGAACAUGGAAAAGCCUUGAACUGACAUGGACGAUCACUGCACAUCAAGUAGUAAGUACAGAGGGAAAACCACAGUAAUGUGGUCUCUGUGAGGAAGUCUUCCUUCAAAAUCGACAGUUUAAAUUCCGGGGAGAUCCAUAGCGGGAGAAACCAUGCAAAGGUCGUGAGGAUGGUAAAGCCUCACUUAGCCUCAGGUAAUCCCUACUGGACAGAAACUGUAGAAAUGUAGUGAAUGUCUCCAAGAAUUGAGUCAAACUUCGUACCUUCAGGUCGUCUAGUGACUUCGUGCUGGAGAGAAACCCAACAAACGUGUAAUGAGUGUGGAAAAUCCUUCCGUGUCGACUAGGGUUAACUUACUGUCAGGUAAUCCGUGUUUCUGAGGGACUUUAUGCAGCAGAGCUAUCAACACAUGUCCCCAUCUUAGCCUCAUUGGUGAAGUCAUACUGGAGAGAAAUGAAGGACAUGUAUUCACUAUGAUGAGGCCUUUAGACAAGGAAUUAGUUCACCAAGUAAUCUAUUCUGGAGAUGACCACGUAAAUGCCAUGGAUGGGAAAAGCCUUUACCCCUCACCACUCAUGAGAUGAUCCGUGUUGCUGAGUGUGGCAAAGCCUUUGGGUUGUGUCUUAAACUGAGUGUUCACCCACUACGUCAUCUUUAAAAUGGAAUAAUUAUGGGAACGUUGCAAAUUAGUGCUCACUCGUCACUAGGUACCACAGUCUUUAUCCUGUAGAGAAACCACAUGGAAGCAAUGGCUUCGGAGGGAUUUCGCCCCAAGAUUACAGGUUGGAGAACAUGCUGGAACAAUACUGUAUCAUGCAAUGGAUGUGGCAAGAGCUUUACCUUCAGUUCAAGGACUGGGAGAAAGCAGGAAGUCCCUGUUGAAGAAGAGCCGUGGAAAUGUACGGCAGAGACUUUAUCCAGGCCUCCCAGAGCCCCGGACUUCAGAAUAGACAUUUUUGAGAGAAACCACACAAAGCAAUAAGUGUGGUAAGGCUUGUUCCUCUGGAACAUUGAAGAUUUAUGUUGGAGAACAAGCUUUCAAACGUAAUGGAUGGUAGGCUUGUUCCCAUGGAACAUUGAAAAUUUAUGUUGGAGAACAAGCUUUCAAACGUAAUGAAUGGUGUAAAAGUUUGCAUCAGAUGCCCACACCGCGGUCUAACGAGAUAAUUCAUAUGGGUCAGUGUAUCCACACGCCGAAUAUGGAAACACUUUGAAGAAACUGUGUGUCCUCAGGGGUCCCCACAGAACUUGUAUUUCUCAGCAUCUUCACAAAUGACGUCCAUUUGGCGAUUUUUUUUUUUUUUUGAGCAAUCCUUAGAUCACACAUCAAAGAAUGCAUAUUAGGAGUAAAUAAAUCCAAGGUAACACAUACCGCAGAUUCAUUACAAGGCACAACGUGUUACACAUUAGGACGUGGUGUGUAUAUGUGCGGAAACGGGACGUGUUUGGAAAUGGCCCGUUCUCUUCACCGUGUGAGUAUUCAGUUAUUUUCUGUUUUUUGCUUUUUAGGGCCACACUCAUGGCACAGGCAAGGUCCCAGGCUAGGGGUCGAAUCAGAGCUGCGGCUGCCAGCCUACCCCACAGCCACAGCUAUGCGGGAUCCUUAACCCACUGAGCGAGGCCAGGGAUCGAACCCGCCGCAACCUUAUGGAUCCCAGUUAGGUUCAUUAUCUGCUGAGCCAUGAAGGGAACUCCUGAAUUUUCUUGGAAAAGGUACAUUUUUCUGUCUUUCACCAUGCAGUUUGAAGUCUGUUGAUCGUAUGCCUUCAUUACAGGCCUUUGGUGAUGGUCUCUGGGAAGGAGUCAGUGAAAUGGGUGGGUGCAUUCACAUCCACGUUCCCUGGGAAAACAGGGACCCUGAAUUGUCAAAUAUGAUGGUGUGUGGCUGAGUGCAUCAGGAGGGGUAAAGAGUGAUGGGAAACUGGGACAUGAUUCAUCAAACUCGUUAUGUUCAGGGGUUCAGGGUGCCCUUCCAGAGGUAGGUCACACUGGGUUAUAGGACAGACUGCUUUACCACCUGACCUUAAACAGAGUUGGCAGGACGUUAAGGGGCCGGGCUUGUCAUGGGAGGAGCAUGAAAAGUUACUAGGGCCUGAGUUUUCAGCAGAAAUGAUGCAGGGCGGAAGUUGGUCACGGUCCUCAUUGGUUGGCAGUAGCAGGUGUAUAGAUGUGUGUUUAAAGGAAAAUGAGUCUUUUGGUUUGUAUUUUUGUUUUCGGCUAUGCCUGAGACCCGUGGAAGUUCUAGGGCCCAGGGUCACACCCAAGGCACAGGUGUGACCCUGCUGGAUCCUCAACCCACUACCACUUCAGGGAAUGCCCAGAAAAUUAGUCGUAUUCUUGGAAAUCGAAGAGAGAGUAGUUAUCUAGAGGAACAUUGAAAAUAAUCCAAAUAGUAUGUGUAGUCACAUUUAACUGCUGCCAUUUCUUUGUGCUGCCAUUUUUUAUCAAGAAUGUACUCUUCUGUUUUAAUAAUACAGUAUAGUCGCUUUUGUCAUAACCCUGGGUGACGCCUCUCAACACUCUUUUAACCCCAUCUUGGUGUUUCACAGCCAAGGAUUUUCUUCAUGCUAAUGAUUUAUUACAAUUCUUUCCCUAUAGCAUACAAACCUUCCAUUGUACAAUGUAGUUGUUUAAAAUGCUUGUAAAAGUUAAUAUAUGGAUAUGUUUAUGAGGUAUAACUAAGGAACUUACUAGAAGAGCAAUUAGCCAAAGACUUUUAAAUUUUCAAUUUCAAAUUAUGAUGUUAAGCCGUAAGUCACAUUAGUUUUCUACUGUAAUAAAAAAAUUUUUUACGCAAUUUUCCUAUAGUGUUUUUUCCUUCCACACAGUUUUCUUCUUUAUGCCAAAAGAUAUAUAAAUCAGUGUGUUGUUUUGGGUUUCCUGGGACAUGAACACUCAAAUAAGUCAGAGAUGUCCAAAGCAGAUGUUGUGUAAACAGAAAGAGUUCUUAGAGCUCCCAUCGUGGCACAGCGGAAACGAAUCCGAGGAGGAACCAUGAGGUUGUGGGUUCGAUCCCUGGCCUCG